GACGAACGCUGGCGGCGUGCCUAAUACAUGCAAGUCGAGCGCAGGAAAUCAUCCGAACCCUUCGGGGGGACGUUGAUGGAAUGAGCGGCGGACGGGUGAGUAACACGUAAAGAACCUGCCCUCAGGUCUGGGAUAACCACGAGAAAUCGGGGCUAAUACCGGAUGGGUCAUCGGACCGCAUGGUCCAAGGAUGAAAGGCGCUUCGGCGGCGCCGGGGGACGGCUUUGCGGUGCAUUAGCUAGUUGGUGGGGUAAUGGCCCACCAAGGCGACGAUGCAUAGCCGACCUGAGAGGGUGAUCGGCCACACUGGGACUGAGACACGGCCCAGACUCCUACGGGAGGCAGCAGUAGGGAAUCUUCCACAAUGGACGAAAGUCUGAUGGAGCAACGCCGCGUGAACGAUGAAGGCCUUCGGGUCGUAAAGUUCUGUUGUAAGGGAAGAACAAGUGCCGCAGGCAAUGGCGGCACCUUGACGGUACCUUGCGAGAAAGCCACGGCUAACUACGUGCCAGCCGCCGCCGUAA
Molecule: ribosomal RNA, 524 nt
Filed under: uncultured bacterium
Lineage: Bacteria
Description: partial 16S ribosomal RNA
Rfam family: Bacterial small subunit ribosomal RNA
Source: RNAcentral